AGUCAACCUAACCUAUGGACGGGAAUAACCUCGGGAAACUGAGAAUAAUGCCCGAUGGAACAUUAUGCCUGGAAUGGUUUAUGUUCCAAAUGAUUUAUCGCCGUAGGAUGGGACUGCGGCCUAUCAGUUUGUUGGUGAGGUAAUGGCCCACCAAGACUAUUACAGGUACGGGCUCUGAGAGGAGUAGCCCGGAGAUGGGUACUGAGACACGGACCCAGGCCCUAUGGGGCGCAGCAGGCGAGAAAACUUUGCAAUGUGCGAAAGCACGACAAGGUUAAUCCGAGUGGUUUCUGCUAAAGAAACCUUUUGUCAGUCCUAGAAACACUGAUGAAUAAGGGGUGGGCAAGUUCUGGUGUCAGCCGCCGCGGUAAAACCAGCACCUCAAGUGGUCAGGAUGAUUAUUGGGCCUAAAGCAUCCGUAGCCGGCUCUGUAAGUUUUCGGUUAAAUCUGUACGCUCAACGUACAGGCUGCCGGGAAUACUGCAGAGCUAGGGAGUGGGAGAGGUAGACGGUACUCGGUAGGAAGGGGUAAAAUCCUUUGAUCUAUUGAUGACCACCUGUGGCGAAGGCGGUCUACCAGAACACGUCCGACGGCGAGGGAUGAAAGCUGGGGGAGCAAACCGGAUUAGAUACCCGGGUAGUCCCAGCUGUAAACUAUGCAAACUCAGUGAUGCAUUGGCUUGUGGCCAAUGCAGUGCUGCAGGGAAGCCGUUAAGUUUGCCGCCUGGGAAGUACGUACGCAAGUAUGAAACUUA
Molecule: ribosomal RNA, 755 nt
Filed under: uncultured marine group I thaumarchaeote
Lineage: Archaea; Thermoproteati; Nitrososphaerota
Description: bacterial SSU rRNA
Rfam family: Archaeal small subunit ribosomal RNA
Source: RNAcentral